UACGUAGGUGGCAAGCGUUGUCCGGAAUUAUUGGGCGUAAAGCGCGCGCAGGCGGUCCUUUAAGUCUGAUGUGAAAGCCCACGGCUUAACCGUGGAGGGUCAUUGGAAACUGGGGGACUUGAGUGCAGAAGAGGAAAGUGGAAUUCCAAGUGUAGCGGUGAAAUGCGUAGAGAUUUGGAGGAACACCAGUGGCGAAGGCGGCAUCCUGGACCAAUUCUGACGCUGAGGAGCGAAAGCCAGGGGAGCAAACGGG
Molecule: ribosomal RNA, 253 nt
Filed under: uncultured bacterium
Lineage: Bacteria
Description: partial 16S ribosomal RNA
Rfam family: Bacterial small subunit ribosomal RNA
Source: RNAcentral